UAUGACGCGUAACUGGUCUGAGAGGAUGAUCAGUCACAUUGGAACUGAGACACGGUCCAAACUCCUACGGGAGGCAGCAGUAAGGAAUAUUGCGCAAUGGGGGAAACCCUGACGCAGCAACGCCGCGUGGAGGAUGACACUUUUCGGAGCGUAAACUCCUUUUAUCAGGAAAGAAUAAUGACGGUACCUGAUGAAUAAGCACCGGCUAACUCCGUGCCAGCAGCCGCGGUAAUACGGGGGGUGCAAGCGUUACUCGGAAUCACUGGGCGUAAAGGACGCGUAGGCGGAUUAUCAAGUCUUUUGUGAAAUCUAGUGGCUUAACCACUAAACUGCUUAGGAAACUGAUAGUCUAGAGUAGGGGAGAGGUAGAUGGAAUUCUUGGUGUAGGGGUAAAAUCCGUAGAGAUCAAGAAGAAUACCCAUUGCGAAAGCGAUCUGCUGGAACCUAACUGACGCUGAGGCGUGAAAGCGUGGGUAGCAAACAGGAUUAGAUACC
RNAcentral lists this ribosomal RNA (495 nucleotides) under uncultured Campylobacterales bacterium. Its description in RNAcentral is "bacterial SSU rRNA". It matches the Rfam family "Bacterial small subunit ribosomal RNA", at positions 275 to 786 of the family's 1533-position model. Lineage: Bacteria; Pseudomonadati; Campylobacterota; Epsilonproteobacteria; Campylobacterales. The record is from RNAcentral.